Molecule: non-coding RNA, 162 nt
Filed under: pig gut metagenome
Source: RNAcentral
AUCGCGAGGUGCAGGCGAGAAGAAGGGAUAGCGAAAUCGUAGCCUGACGAACAGAAACCUAAUACCAAGGCUUGCAUAGCGGAUGAGCGGGCAGUGAGCCGUAGAGUCCAAAAGGCAACCGUAACCUAUGCAGGUAGAUUAGGCAGGCAGACGAGGAAAGGC